This 429-nucleotide ribosomal RNA is filed under the name Gemmatimonadota bacterium. Its description in RNAcentral is "Gemmatimonadetes bacterium partial 16S ribosomal RNA". It matches the Rfam family "Bacterial small subunit ribosomal RNA", at positions 355 to 776 of the family's 1533-position model. Lineage: Bacteria; Pseudomonadati; Gemmatimonadota. The record is from RNAcentral.
UAGGGAAUCUUCGGCAAUGGACGAAAGUCUGACCGAGCAACGCCGCGCGAGUGAAGAAGGUUUUCGGAUCGUAAAACUCUGUUGUUAGAGAAGAACAAGGACGUUAGUAACUGAACGUCCCCUGACGGUAUCUAACCAGAAAGCCACGGCUAACUACGUGCCAGCAGCCGCGGUAAUACGUAGGUGGCAAGCGUUGUCCGGAUUUAUUGGGCGUAAAGCGAGCGCAGGCGGUUUCUUAAGUCUGAUGUGAAAGCCCCCGGCUCAACCGGGGAGGGUCAUUGGAAACUGGGAGACUUGAGUGCAGAAGAGGAGGGUGGAAUUCCAUGUGUAGCGGUGAAAUGCGUAGAUAUAUGGAGGAACACCAGUGGCGAAGGCGGCUCUCUGGUCUGUGACUGACGCUGAGGCUCGAAAGCGUGGGGAGCAAACAGG